GUGUCAGCCGCCGCGGUAAUACGGAGGGGGCGAGCGUUGCUCGGAAUUACUGGGCGUAAAGGGCGCGUAGGCGGCCAUGUCAGUUGGGAGUGAAAGCCCCGGGCUCAACCUGGGAACUGCUCUCAAUACUGCGUGGCUUGAGAACGGGAGAGGGUAGUGGAAUUCCCAGUGUAGAGGUGAAAUUCGUAGAUAUUGGGAAGAACACCAGUGGCGAAGGCGGCUGCCUGGCCCGUUUCUGACGCUGAGGCGCGAAAGCGUGGGGAGCAAACAGGAUUAGAUACCCUGGUAGUCCACGCCGUAAACGAUGAGUGCUAGACGUCGGGGGACGUGUCCUUCGGUGUCGCCGCUAACGCAUUAAGCACUCCGCCUGGGGAGUAUGGCCGCAAGGUUAAAACUUAAAGGAAUUGACGGGG
This 413-nucleotide ribosomal RNA is filed under the name uncultured prokaryote. RNAcentral describes it as "bacterial SSU rRNA". It matches the Rfam family "Bacterial small subunit ribosomal RNA", at positions 505 to 918 of the family's 1533-position model. The record is from RNAcentral.